GUUGGCAGUGGAGGUGAGGAUAUUUCUUGCUGGACAUCUCUGCCUACUUGAGGCCUUCCAAAGGGUAAGGAAGACUGUGUUUCAGCCUGACUCCAAUUGAAUAUGAAAGUGUUGCAGCAUUGGAUGGUGACUUUGGGUAUGAACAAUUGCAAAUGGAUUUCUCUUCCCUGUGUCAACGUGCCUGUGGAGCUGCAACCAGCCUGGAGGUACACACUGAAGUUAGUUAUAGUAGAUUUUGAAGCACUGUAUAGUGGUAGAGGUGGUUCUAGAUCAUUAUAGCUGGAAGUCUGAAGUAG
RNAcentral lists this long non-coding RNA (296 nucleotides) under Gallus gallus (chicken). Its description in RNAcentral is "lncRNA (ENSGALG00010024244.1)". The record is from RNAcentral. Lineage: Eukaryota; Metazoa; Chordata; Aves; Galliformes; Phasianidae.